Molecule: transfer RNA, 74 nt
Organism: Edhazardia aedis
Lineage: Eukaryota; Fungi; Microsporidia; Culicosporidae
Rfam family: tRNA
About the family: Transfer RNA (tRNA) molecules are approximately 80 nucleotides in length. Their secondary structure includes four short double-helical elements and three loops (D, anti-codon, and T loops).
Source: Rfam
GCCCUUGUAGCUUAAUAGGUUAAAGCGUUGGUCUUGUAAGCCAAAAAUUGUGAGUUCAAUCCUCACCUUGGGCA